CCUUGUGCUCAAACGGCUCUCCUCCCCUUGAAUUCAAAACAGCUCAAAAAAUCAGACAGAAAAUGCACACGAUUGACACACAUGUCGUGCAUCCGUCCGUGUAUGGGUCUCCUUAGGGUUCCAAACAGAAAAAUACUGUUCAUUAACAGUACACGAAAUGCCCCUGGAGUGAGGGAUGAGAGAGAUUGACAGUGGAAAAAUCUCUCCUACAGCCGGAUCUCUGGAAUUUUCCAUGGUUUCUAUCCCCCACUAAUUCCUCUCCCCCUCCUUCCCGCGCCUAAUUCACUCAGCCCUCACCUCUCUCUACCCCACUCAGACUCCCCCAUCUCCCAACACUGUCAAUCUCUCUCAUCCCUCACUACUCUGCCUCUACCAUCUGUCUCAUUCUCCCUCUCCGCAAAACCGAGAACCACCAUCACAUCAUCUCCAAACACCACCCAAACAAAAUAACGUCCCUGGAGCUUUUGCGCUGAUUCCAGUUUUUUUAGCGGUUUCCAAGAAACGCAGUCUGCGAUGCCUGUUCCGUCCUGAUUUGAGGAAGAUUUCUCUAGCGACUGUAAUUUCAUGGUAACCGUCUUCAGUUGGUUGUUUUGAACGCUGGAACCAGUGAUCUUUGAAAACGGUGUAAAAAUAUCUGUCACCCCCUCAACAUGGAUGCCUCUAAUAUGGCUAAUCAGUCAGACCGACAUCCAACCGAUCGGGUCGGUG
Molecule: non-coding RNA, 708 nt
Organism: Malus domestica (apple)
Lineage: Eukaryota; Viridiplantae; Streptophyta; Magnoliopsida; Rosales; Rosaceae
Source: RefSeq, a predicted model, not a curated record